RNAcentral lists this long non-coding RNA (285 nucleotides) under Lathyrus oleraceus (garden pea). Its description in RNAcentral is "Pisum sativum (pea) long non-coding RNA (PSAT_LNC035424)". Lineage: Eukaryota; Viridiplantae; Streptophyta; Magnoliopsida; Fabales; Fabaceae. The record is from RNAcentral.
AAGAAAGAAAGUUGAGUCAGAGGAAUAAAAAUAAUGGAGUUGUGUUUAAAAAAUAUGGAGAAAUUCUAAUAAGUUGACAAAUUAAACUAUAAAAUUUAUAAAGUAAAAUUUACAAUUAUAAUAAAAAAUAAGGGUUAUUUUGUCAAUAUAACAAAAAUAUAUUUUAUUACAACUCAUCUCCCUCUCCUCUCCUCUCCUCCAAACCCCCCAAUAUGCGGGAACAAAAAAUUGCUCCCAAAGAGAUUCAAAUUACCUCCCCCUCAUAAAAAACUGAAUCAAACAUAC